UGAGUGCCUAUGGUGGUUAUAAAUAUACUUUGAGCAAUUACUGUGAAAAGACAUCAAUCUGAGGCUCACUUU
This is a small nucleolar RNA of Elaeis guineensis (African oil palm), 72 nucleotides long. The record is from RefSeq and is a predicted model, not a curated record. NCBI's taxonomy places the organism in Eukaryota, Viridiplantae, Streptophyta, Magnoliopsida, Arecales, Arecaceae.